Long non-coding RNA from Orcinus orca (killer whale), 569 nucleotides. RefSeq lists it as uncharacterized. The record is from RefSeq and is a predicted model, not a curated record. Lineage: Eukaryota; Metazoa; Chordata; Mammalia; Artiodactyla; Delphinidae. The transcript has 3 exons.
UCACUGAAAGCAGAGCUGGGAAGAGAUGGGCAGCAGUCGCCUGUCAUUAUAUAGUAGUUCCACCACACAGGUACCGUGGACGACAUUACAUACUCAGCCCUUUGAAGUCUCCAGCCCGAAUAUGACGGAUGCGGUUGAAGCGGGCGUACAGUUCUGAUCCCCAGCAGAGUGCCAACCCCCUACUGGCGGAUAUGCCAGCAUCCCAGAGUCUCCAGGAGGGCCUCAAGGAGAGGGAAAAGCUGCUAACGAGGGAACUCAAGCUGAAAAGCAGUAUGAUUACUUCAUUUGCCCCCAUGCCAAAUGACGGCCACAAAGUUAUUUAUUCUUCUCUACAGGCCUUUAAUUGUCUCUAAUCUAAUUAUCACUCAACCUGCUCCCCCAGCGACGCUAUUAAUUAAGGUAGGUGGCUUUUCUAGGCACAGCGGAGUUCUUGCAUUUCUUUGCUUCCUAUCCAGUUUGUGCACUCAGGAAGAAGCAUUAGGAACAGCCGGCCUCUCCCUUUGUUUUCUUUUUUCCUCCCCUGCAGCUGUUUCCCCUUCUCUCCCUGAUCCUCUACUCCAUAUAGCUCU